AUCUUUUUAGUAUAAAAAAUAUAUUUGACUUCCAAUCAAAAGAUCUUUUAACUAAGAAAAGAUA
RNAcentral lists this transfer RNA (64 nucleotides) under Megacopta cribraria (bean plataspid). RNAcentral's name for it is "tRNA-Gly". Lineage: Eukaryota; Metazoa; Arthropoda; Insecta; Hemiptera; Plataspidae. The record is from RNAcentral.